AGUGAACGCUGGCGGUAGGCCUAACACAUGCAAGUCGAACGGCAGCACAGUAAGAGCUUGCUCUUACGGGUGGCGAGUGGCGGACGGGUGAGGAAUACAUCGGAAUCUACUUUUUCGUGGGGGAUAACGUAGGGAAACUUACGCUAAUACCGCAUACGACCUACGGGUGAAAGCAGGGGAUCUUCGGACCUUGCGCGAUUGAAUGAGCCGAUGUCGGAUUAGCUAGUUGGCGGGGUAAAGGCCCACCAAGGCGACGAUCCGUAGCUGGUCUGAGAGGAUGAUCAGCCACACUGGAACUGAGACACGGUCCAGACUCCUACGGGAGGCAGCAGUGGGGAAUAUUCGACAAUGGGCGAAAGCCUGACGGAGCAACGCCGCGUGAGUGAUGAAGGUCUUCGGAUCGUAAAACUCUGUUAUUAGGGAAGAACAAAUGUGUAAGUAACUAUGCACGUCUUGACGGUACCUAAUCAGAAAGCCACGGCUAACUACGUG
Molecule: ribosomal RNA, 492 nt
Filed under: uncultured bacterium
Lineage: Bacteria
Description: partial 16S ribosomal RNA
Rfam family: Bacterial small subunit ribosomal RNA
Source: RNAcentral